Non-coding RNA from Nicotiana tabacum (common tobacco), 2585 nucleotides. Lineage: Eukaryota; Viridiplantae; Streptophyta; Magnoliopsida; Solanales; Solanaceae. The record is from RefSeq and is a predicted model, not a curated record.
AUCGCCUCUUUCUGUUUUUUCAAAUUAUCUCCUCCUUUCUCUUCUGUUCGCUGGGUGAGUUUUUUCUGCACUACUUCUUGGUUGAUUUAAGUUUUUUGUGGCUUUGGACAAAAAAUGGAUGGCGAAAUAAGAAUGUGACAGAAAUCUGUUCAUCGACGAAGGUCGGCUUUCUUAGUUGUUGUAGGUGCUCCAGAUUCAGUGGAUCCCUUUUUCUGAUUACGGAGCUGGUAGUAAUUUUCUUGGGGUCUAUUUUACUUUCGUUCUAGGUACAACUACUAAGAGACAUGUAAUAUCUGUUGUAAGAAUAGUGCAUAGAGCCUCAUUGGAGAAAGACUUGAACUUGCUCGACAUCACCAACAGGACGAUGAAGUUCUGUUGCAACCAAAAAAGAAAAAAAUGAAGGAUAGAGCUUGGGUAUUCUUGUGACUUACCCAUCACAUGAAAGAAAGCUAUUUUGGAGCAGAUAAAUAUUGACAAUUAAAUCUCAAAAUUAGUGAUUCAGUGUUACAAAGCGGAGUUUAUGUCAAUGGAAGGAGUUAGAUUAGCAAAUUUCUUUGCCAUUGUCAGUCUCUUCACAAAUCUUUUGCUGCUUAGGUAUCCUUUUUUCAUUUGGCAAGAAUUGGGUUACUUCUUUUGGUGCAUUUUUUUCUUUAUUUAUAAUGCAUGCUGCUCUGUAGUCUCUGUUACUAACAUUAGUGUGCCUCCUCUUUUAUGCCUUUGGUCAGUUGGUUUUUGCAAGGUUUUUCCUAUGCUUCCGUUGCUCCUUUCUGGGCUUAUUUGUAAGUUUCUCUAUUUAUAGUGGAAUUUGUUUAUGGUGUAUGCUCUCAAUUCUGGCGAGUUUUCUAUCCAUUAUUUAUAUUAUUAAAACAUAUUUAUUGGUAGUAUAAAUUUGAUUUGUAUAUAUUAAUUUUCCUAUUCUUUUCAAUAAUUUUGUGCUGGAUUUUCUACAUGAAUAUCAUGGUUUGCCCAUGCAUGUUUGGUAAUAGAUGCAUAGGCGCAUGUAAGUGCUUUCUCUUUUAGGAUCAUUAAAUUUAAUUUUAUUUUUCCUCUUUAAAUUUUAAAAUAUUGCAACAAAUCGGAAACUGAAUGUUAGCCUUUCCACGGUACUUUUUAACUUUGUUGGUCGUUGAAAUGGUGAAAUAUAUAUAUAUAUAUAUAUAUUUUUUUUUUACAUUUCUGUUGGAUUUUCUCUUUAAUAUUAUUCUGUUAGUGCACGGAGAUGAAAAUUCUGCUUUUUGAGUCAAUUGUUUCCGAGGACUGUUCGUGCUACUGAAUAGUUUUAUGCGCUAAUGUUGUCUUUUCCUUCUGGACCUUCUUCUGAUGGAACGAGAAGAAUACCACUAUCGCCUCUUGGCUUUGCUUUCAUAUAAUCCAUUUGACUGAAACAAAGGUUAAUAGUUCUCUUCGUUUCUCUUUUCAAAACUGUUCCUUCGUUUAUGCAUAUAUCAAAAGUUUUCUGCUUUAAGAAUAUUGAUUAGAAUGUUGUGAAAUUAGUCUCAAAGCGCAUUUUGAAGAUUGUAUUAAGCUAAUUCUUUGUGUUUGAAAGAUCUGUAAGAUAUAGUUAAAUAGACCUGCAUCAUCGGUUGUCUGAUAUUAUAUGUUUUUCUUAUGCCUUCACACUUCUUGCCUUUUGGUCCUUAUUGUUUGUGGCUUAUGUUGUUUUUAUUAGGUUAAUUCUUACACACAUAAGCUAGAACUGUUUGAUUUUAGGAGUAUAAAGAUAUUGAUAUGCGGUGUUAACUGUUAAGUGCUCUUAUUCCUUCUAAAAUAGCAAAUUAUUGAUAUGUUUAUUUCUUUAUUGUACUUGCAUGGCUGAAAGAUAUAAGAGUCUUAUCGAUGAUUGGAAGACCUUUUUGGCCUUUGGAAUUUUUAGUGGGCCUUAUGACAUGAGGUUUCUCAUCAAGCCUUAUUACAAGGAGAAGGUGCUGGUAAGAUAAUUAAGGGAAGGCUGCAAGGUGUUGACCAAAAAAGAGAUGGAAGGCUGCAAGCAAAACCUAUUCAGAUAUGCUUCAUUAUUGCUCAGCUACUGAAGCUGCAUCCGGAGGAAGAGAUGCAGAACAAGUGACAAUAAAAUUGGAAAUAGAAGCUGAGGAAGCCAGUACACUGUGAGCCCGUUUAAUGUUGUCGAUUGUUUAAUUCAUUUGCAUCUGUCCAAAAGAUACUCAAGGUUUGUACAUCAUUUCAUCAUGGAGGAUGAAGAUUGGGAAGACCUGGAGUUGCCUCCCAGAUCAAACUUGCUUCAGUAUGCAAUUGGAAAGUUCUGUUCUUUGGAUCAUAGUGAGGCCACAGAAUUAUUGCAACAACCACCCCUUUACUGGCUUAUGAAUAAACACGUUAUUUUGUUGUAUGAAAUUUCAAAACUCGAGCAUGAGGGAAGAUUGUUAUUACUAAGUAUUCCCCAACCAGAUGUCGUAGUAUUGUUUUUUAAUUUGUUUCAACGUAAAUGGUUGUUCUUUAGUCUGUAUCAAUGUAAAUGGGUGUAGAUGAGAUUUGUGUUUAACUUACAAGCAAGUGUGCAUAUUCUCUUGAAAAAACAAGUAGUGUAAUUUAGUUGUUUUUAUAGUUAUAUAUGCUAUUGAUUUUCA